GACGAACCGAGCGAACGUUGUUCGGAAUCACUGGGCUUAAAGGGCGCGUAGGCGGGUGCUCAAGUCCGGGGUGAAAUCCUCCAGCUCAACUGGAGAACUGCCUCGGAUACUGGGUGCCUCGAGGGUGGUAGGGGUAUGCGGAACUAUCGGUGGAGCGGUGAAAUGCGUUGAUAUCCACAGGAACUCCGGUGGCGAAGGCGGCACGCUGGACCUCUUCUGACGCUGAGGCGCGAAAGCCAGGGGAGCAAACGGG
This 253-nucleotide ribosomal RNA is filed under the name uncultured bacterium. Its description in RNAcentral is "partial 16S ribosomal RNA". It matches the Rfam family "Bacterial small subunit ribosomal RNA", at positions 524 to 776 of the family's 1533-position model. The record is from RNAcentral.